This is a small nucleolar RNA of Acanthochromis polyacanthus (spiny chromis), 140 nucleotides long. RefSeq annotates it as small nucleolar RNA SNORA57. The transcript has a single exon. Lineage: Eukaryota; Metazoa; Chordata; Actinopteri; Pomacentridae. The record is from RefSeq and is a predicted model, not a curated record.
CCUCCAUUUCUUGGCAUACAUGUAGUUGUUUAGUACUCAUGUGUGUUAUGUACGGAGGAAAAACAAAUGCAGCGCUAUGUCUUCGGUGCCGGUGUGUGUUCCAUCGUCUGCCGGUUCUAUCCUCAAUCGCUGUUACAUUC